GCCCGGGUAGCUUAGUCAGGAAAUAGCGUAGCCCUGCUAAGGCUAAGGUCGGCGGUUCAAAUCCGCCCCCGGGCGCCA
This 78-nucleotide transfer RNA is filed under the name Candidatus Bathyarchaeota archaeon. Its description in RNAcentral is "tRNA-Ser". It matches the Rfam family "tRNA". From Rfam's summary of the family: Transfer RNA (tRNA) molecules are approximately 80 nucleotides in length. Lineage: Archaea; Thermoproteati; Candidatus Bathyarchaeota. The record is from RNAcentral.